UGCGUAGGCGGAUUAAUAAGUCAGUGGUGAAAUCUUUCGGCUCAACCGAGAAACUGCCAUUGAUACUGUUAAUCUUGAGUUCGGUUGAGGUAGGCGGAAUGUGUAAUGUAGCGGUGAAAUGCUUAGAUAUUACACAGAACACCAAUUGCGAAGGCAGCUUACUAGACCGACACUGACGCUGAGGCACGAAAGCGUGGGGAGCGAACAGGAUUAGAUACCCUGGUAGUCC
This 229-nucleotide ribosomal RNA is filed under the name uncultured bacterium. Its description in RNAcentral is "partial 16S ribosomal RNA". It matches the Rfam family "Bacterial small subunit ribosomal RNA", at positions 568 to 796 of the family's 1533-position model. The record is from RNAcentral.